This 253-nucleotide ribosomal RNA is filed under the name uncultured bacterium. RNAcentral describes it as "partial 16S ribosomal RNA". It matches the Rfam family "Bacterial small subunit ribosomal RNA", at positions 524 to 776 of the family's 1533-position model. The record is from RNAcentral.
UACGUAGGGUCCAAGCGUUAUCCGGAAUCACUGGGCGUAAAGCGUGCGUAGGCGGUUUGUUAAGUGAGAUGUGAAAUCGUGUGGCUCAACCAUAUCGUUGUGUCUCAUACUGGCAAACUAGAGGAUAGCAGAGGCAAGUGGAAUUACGAGUGUAGCAGUGAAAUGCGUAGAGAUUCGUAGGAACACCAAUGGCGAAGGCAGCUUGCUGGGCUAUUUCUGACGCUCAGGCACGAAAGCGUGGGGAGCGAACAGG